UACGGAGGAUGCAAGCGUUAUCCGGAUUUAUUGGGUUUAAAGGGUGCGCAGGUUGUUUGAUAAGUCAGUGGUGAAAUUUUGCAGCUCAACUGUAAAAGUGCCUUCGAAACUGGUUUCCUUGAGUGUAGAUGAAGUAGGCGGAAUUUGUGGUGUAGCGGUGAAAUGCAUAGAUAUCACGAGGAACUCCGAUUGCGCAGGCAGCUUACUAAACUACUACUGACGCUCAGGCACGAAGGCGUGGGGAUCAAACAGGAUUAGAUA
RNAcentral lists this ribosomal RNA (261 nucleotides) under uncultured prokaryote. RNAcentral describes it as "partial 16S ribosomal RNA". It matches the Rfam family "Bacterial small subunit ribosomal RNA", at positions 524 to 784 of the family's 1533-position model. The record is from RNAcentral.